GCCUUCGUGGUGUGUUGGUAAGCACGCUCGACGCAUAACCUAGAGGUCCGUAGUUCGAUUCCCGGCGAAGGCG
Non-coding RNA from Stegodyphus mimosarum, 73 nucleotides. The record is from Rfam. Lineage: Eukaryota; Metazoa; Arthropoda; Arachnida; Araneae; Eresidae.